This is a long non-coding RNA of Osmia bicornis bicornis, 299 nucleotides long. RefSeq lists it as uncharacterized. Lineage: Eukaryota; Metazoa; Arthropoda; Insecta; Hymenoptera; Megachilidae. The record is from RefSeq and is a predicted model, not a curated record. The transcript has 3 exons.
GUAUGAGCUGAAUAGAUUAAGACGAGAGUCUUCAUCGGGUAACGUAACAUAGAUUUGCUUUUCUAAACGUCUGAGUAAAGCUGCGUCGAUGUUCCUAGUAAGAAUUUUAUGUUGACUCAUUACUACUUUACCUUCAGCAGUGAAUCAUAGCUGCUUAUUGUACAUACUUACCAAGGAGCAUUAGUAGCAGCCAAAAGCAUGACAUUUGAACCCUCAGAAAUGUUGGUGAAAGUUUCAGAAACAAGAAAGGGAAACAAGCGUACAACACAGAGCUUACCUGUACCAGGUGGCCCAUACAG